CCUCUAUAUCUGCCCUGUCCACUGGCUGUCCUAGGAGCAGCAUGGAACCCGAGAUAAUUUGGUAAUUUCAAUCUUAUGACUUCAGCUACCCUUAAUGACCUUUAAAAUUGAUUUGCUUCAUUUGUUUUGGUUUUAAGAGAUUAUGCUUAAGUAAUGCUUUGCUGCAUUUAAUGUUUUGUUGUAUUCUAAUUUACUGUGUAAUGACUCUCUAUAUUAAAUAAUAGUAACAAUAUCUGAAUUUAUUAAUCGACAAAACAUGACAGACAAUGCAUGUUAAGCUUUCUAUAUAUUUUGAAUCACGUAUCUCCCAGGUAACAUAAGAAAACUGUUAAAUCAUACUGAACCAGAUUCCUCAGCUGAUGUAAAUCAGCUAAUAUACAGCAGCUGAAUUUCUGGUCCAUUAUGUUUUUCCAUAAAAGAUGUCUUUGCCUUCAGAGUAUUAAUUAUCCAUGAUUCUUUUACUUUUCUUGUUUUUCUGCCUUUGCAGGUGCUGCUAAUUCACCCAUUUUCUUCCAGAAAUGGGAAAAUUGAUCUAUAUUAGGAAAUAUGUUCUUCCUUUCUUCAUGCUUGUGAAAAUGAAGGAUAGUUGUGCCUGCACUACAAGAAGGGUGAUUUAGGUUGUAUGAAGCCAGAUCAUCAGUACUUCAAAUUAGUAACAGAACACAAAUAGUCUCGGAGAUUGCUAUAAAGCUUUCUGAUUUUCCACAGCACAAGAAACUGAAAAAUAAAAAUUCAGGGUUCGCUGUAUUGGAGAGUAGCUGCAUUUGCAACAAUUGUAUGUACAUUGAUAUUUUAUGUUGGGGUUUGAAGUCUUCAGUAGGCUCCUUAAUAAAUAACAAGGUAUCCCGAAAGGAUGAAUACUAGGUGGCACCUGCUGAGUUACUAACCUUUGCUGUGUUCUUUUUAUAAUCUUUUUUUUUUUUUUCUAAAUAUCUUGUGAUCUCAAAUGCAGAUCCACUAGUUUAGAUGAUUUUCUUCUGCAGCAGCUCUGCUUGAUCACUACUAAGGUUUUUUGAGGGAGGGUUGCCAAAUUUGCCAACGCUAAUCUGGAAGCCAAAAUAAAUAUCUUUGUGUUCUGAAGAGCA
RNAcentral lists this long non-coding RNA (1085 nucleotides) under Anser brachyrhynchus (Pink-footed goose). RNAcentral's name for it is "lncRNA (ENSABRG00000008337.1)". Lineage: Eukaryota; Metazoa; Chordata; Aves; Anseriformes; Anatidae. The record is from RNAcentral.